This 92-nucleotide transfer RNA is filed under the name Daphnia pulex (common water flea). It matches the Rfam family "tRNA". Rfam says of the family: Transfer RNA (tRNA) molecules are approximately 80 nucleotides in length. Their secondary structure includes four short double-helical elements and three loops (D, anti-codon, and T loops). Lineage: Eukaryota; Metazoa; Arthropoda; Branchiopoda; Diplostraca; Daphniidae. The record is from Rfam by way of RNAcentral.
CCGUCGGUAGCUCAGUUGGUAGUAGCGGUGGACUGUAGACUUUAAUCGCAAUAGGUAUCCAUAGGUCGCUGGUUCAAUUCCGGCCCGACGGA